UUUUUGCUGGCAGCCUCAUUCUGCAUGCACAUACCCAGAGUUCGCUCUUGCUCCGCUGGAACAACCGCCUAAUUAACGCGUGAUAACGUGCCCUUUUCUCGGUGAAUGCAUCUUGAAGAAGCUCGCGGUACUACACGGAUGCUUACCUUUCGGGGUGAAAGAUCUAGCGACCUAAGGUAUGCGGUGCCGGUCAUGGAUUAGCAUAGCUGGUUGGGCUUAAUGGCCUUACCAAGCCCGACCGAUCCAUAGCUGGUUUGAGAGGAUGAUCAGCCACACUGGGACUGAGACACGGCCCAGACUCCUACGGGAGGCAGCAGUGGGGAAUCUUAGACAAUGGGGGAAACCCUGAUCUAGCCAUGCCGCGUGAGUGACGAAGGCCCUAGGGUCGUAAAGCUCUUUCGCCAGGGAAGAUAAUGACGGUACCUGGUAAAGAAGUCCCGGCUAACUCCGUGCCAGCAGCCGCGGUAAUACGGAGGGGACUAGCGUUGUUCGGAAUUACUGGCCGUAAAGCCCCCUAGGGCGGACCAUUAAGUAAGGGGUGAAAUUCUGGGGCUUAACCCCAAAACUUCCUUU
Molecule: ribosomal RNA, 573 nt
Filed under: uncultured Antarctic soil bacterium
Lineage: Bacteria
Description: bacterial SSU rRNA
Rfam family: Bacterial small subunit ribosomal RNA (bases 99-573)
Source: RNAcentral